RNAcentral lists this unclassified non-coding RNA (302 nucleotides) under Harpephyllum caffrum. RNAcentral describes it as "partial external transcribed spacer". Lineage: Eukaryota; Viridiplantae; Streptophyta; Magnoliopsida; Sapindales; Anacardiaceae. The record is from RNAcentral.
GUUGGCCCUCUCCGCUCGACGCCCUCUACGGGCGUGGGGUGGACGUCAGGCAAGCUCCGUGUUCCUGGCACGCCUCGCCCAGCUGCGUGGGCUGCCUAGGCGCACGGCGUCGUUGCCCGUUCUCUCGGAUGCGGAACGUCAUGCGCGGGUGCGGGGGUCUAGGCCUUCGCCAGCCCGAGCUACGCAUUUGUCCCUCGGCACGGACGACGGUCGCUCCCGUCUUGACCCCGGGGCCUUCGGGCCCGACGGGGCUCAUGCGGGCGUCGACGUCGCGGAAGAAUGCUACCUGGUUGAUCCUGCCA